UACACUCCUGCGGGAGGCAGCAGUGGGGAAUUUUGGACAAUGGGCGAAAGCCUGAUCCAGCCAUGCCGCGUGCAGGAUGAAGGCCUUCGGGUUGUAAACUGCUUUUGUACGGAACGAAACGGCCUUUUCUAAUAAAGAGGGCUAAUGACGGUACCGUAAGAAUAAGCACCGGCUAACUACGUGCCAGCAGCCGCGGUAAUACGUAGGGUGCAAGCGUUAAUCGGAAUUACUGGGCGUAAAGCGUGCGCAGGCGGUUAUGUAAGACAGUUGUGGAAUCCCCGGGCUCAACCUGGGAACUGCAUCUGUGACUGCAUAGCUAGAGUACGGUAGAGGGGGAUGGAAUUCCGCGUGUAGCAGUGAAAUGCGUAGAUAUGCGGAGGAACACCGAUGGCGAAGGCAAUCCCCUGGACCUGUACUGACGCUCAUGCACGAAAGCGUGGGGAGCAAACAGGAUUAGAAACCCGAGUAGUCCC
Molecule: ribosomal RNA, 473 nt
Filed under: uncultured organism
Description: partial 16S ribosomal RNA
Rfam family: Bacterial small subunit ribosomal RNA
Source: RNAcentral